AGUCUCUGGAAUUGACUCCUAUUUUCAGCGAAAGCCAACCAUCUGUAGGUCUAGUAUGGUCACUAGUUUAGACAACAUCUGCAGCAGCCCUCACUGAUAACUGAUUAUUUCAUCUGUAACAACACAUAAAUAUGACUAAGCUUCUGUUGCAAAAAGACUCCAUAAGCUGUGUGCUCAUCCUGUUAGAAACUCACUGCAGGAGCUCAAUGAAAAGCAACAACACACACCUUGAGAUAAAUCAGGUGCCAAUGAGCCAGAAAUACUCUUAAAUCUAGUAGGGAAACCAUCAAUCAGUUCUUAUCUGAAGAUUAAUCGUUAUAAUUUUCAAUACUAAAAACUUCUGUUCUACCAAUGCCUGUAACUUAUCAUGCUGCCUGUUCUGUGUAAAAAAUCUUUUAACUUACUUUUUUCUAUUACUCAGCUCCUCACUGAACAAUUCCAUAUUCUACCACGCUGGUGUUUCAGUUCCCUGAAAACAAGGGCCUGAGGUUACUUUACUGAUGUUGAUACAAUGGCCCAUCUGCAACAUUGUAAAAUUUAGUUGUUUUUUUUUUUUUUUCCCAUCUACUUCCAGCACCUUUCUACUGACCCCUCAAAUAUGUUACCUCAAAAAUCUCUUCUGAAAUGCUUGAAGUCUUGUUUAUUUCAAAUAAAUCUUAUUUCUUAUUUGCCACAUAGCAAAGUGGGGGUGGGAGGAGUUGUUGCUAAGUGGUGGAGCUUCCCAUCUUUCUGUGGUGCGUUGACAAACUUCUUCGGUAUGCAAGAGGGAGACGCGGAGUUCUCUCAUAAGUCCUGUUGGCUUUAUUUAUGGCCAUAUGUUUUGCAGGUAAUUCUGGCAUGCCAUCAGAAAAGACACCAGGCAGGUUUGGCUUGUUUUCAUCCCAAGCUGGUUUUAGGAAACGCUUCAAGUCUUUACAUCAAUGAACUUUGCAAUGUUCCAACAAGUUUCAAACCUCACAAAAAAACAAACAAACAAACAAACAAAACUCAUCCGUGUCGUUAUCUGUCUUAUUUCUCAAGGGAUUUCCACGUAACAAGAAUUGUUUCCUUUGACGUGCAUAUAGCUGCUGCAUGCGGGCGCGGAGCAGAGCGCACAGGCGCGGGGGAAGCACCGAACAGGCGCACAGCACGCUGGCAGGGUGGGCGCGCUCGUGCCCUCACGAAACAGUGGGAAGGCCCACGGGAAACUCUCCAUGCACAGAACCAUUGGAACAGCCAGCGACUGGCGACCGGCGAACAACAGCCCGGGGAGGGCAGGGCAGGGCAGAGCAGAGCCGCGGAGCGACGCCUCGCCUUCCAUCUCCACAGGCGAAGGCGGGGGUGGGCGGCGCAUGCGCGGUGCGGCGCUGGCGGCGGGGCGGGAUGGUGGCGCCGCUGGCGGGCCCGAGCUGCAGGCGGCCGCCCUCUGGCUCCCCAUGACAAGCAGCCAGGAGGAUUUCUUCAGGGACUACCUCAAGAUGCUGGCGAACAUCGUCAUCCUGAGCCUGCUCAUCUCGGUCUCGCUGGCGUUCUGGAUCGUGUCCAUGACCGCGAGCACAUACUACGGUAAUAUCCAGCCAAUUUCUCCAUGGCGCUGGCUUUUUUCAGUCACAGUUCCGGUAGUGAUUGUUACACAAGGUUUUAAGAAGAGGAGUCUUGAUCACAGUGGUGCAUUGGCAGGAUUGGUGGUUGGAUUUAUCCUUACAGUUGCAAAUUACAGUUUCUUCAGUUCAUUGCUUGUAUUUUUUGUUACUUCUUCAAAACUUACUAAAUGGAAAAAAGAUGUAAAGAAACGUAUAGAUUCAGAAUACAAAGAAGGUGGACAGAGGAAUUGGUUGCAGGUAUUCUGUAAUGGUGGUAUUCCUACUGAGCUGGCUAUCUUGUAUAUGAUAGAAAGUGGACCUGGUGAAAUCCCAAUAGACUUUUCAAGAUAUUACACGGCAUCGUGGAUGUGCUUAUCCCUUCUGGGAGCUUUGGCAUGCUCUGCUGGCGAUACCUGGGCAUCAGAGAUUGGUAGCGUUAUGAGUAAAAGCAAGCCAAGGUUGAUAACAACUUGGAAACAAGUUCCAGUAGGUACUAAUGGAGGAGUUACAUUGGUGGGCCUGCUCUCAAGUUUUCUUGGUGGCAUGGCAGUAGGUAUAGCCUACUACAUAACACAGCUUGUUUUCGUGAGUGAUCUGGAUGUGUCGGCUCCGCAGUGGCCAAUUAUUGUGUUUGGAGCAGCAGCAGGCUUACUGGGAUCAAUUCUUGAUUCAUAUUUGGGUGCUACAAUGCAAUACAGUGGUUUUGACAAGAAUACCAGCAUGGUUGUCAACUACCAAACAAGAGACUGCCAGCACAUAUCUGGAAAGCCUAUAUUAGACAACAAUGCAGUAAAUCUGUUUUCCUCUCUGCUUGUUGCUCUGGUUUUUCCAGCUGUGGCAUUGUGUGUCUGGCCAAGACGUUGAAAUGGCUUAAGGCUUUUGGCAUGUAAUCAGUUAUAUUCAGUCUUUCUUAAAGACUUCUAAGAGUGCUCUUUGAGUGCUCUUAAAAAAAGGGAUCUGAACAUUUGAGAGAGCCAAUGGAUUUCCAUCUCAACUUAUGUAAGCUUCGUAUGGCAGUAGUCAUCUAUCAGGACAAGAAGUUUUGUUAAUUAUGCUGUUGCUCUUUGAGUGGUUGCAGAUCAUUGCCAAGUGAGGUAAAGCAUUUUGUUUGUCCUCCUGAAACCUAAGGAUUGGCUUCAGUGGUCUCAGUGGAGGAGCAAGAAUCUGGAAAUGGAAAUGUGAUCUACAUUUACCAGGGUAUUGGAGCACUGAAGCUAUUGUCCAAGCCAGGAACAAGUCCUCUGCAACUUUGUGUAGGCAGCAAUAACACAGACAUGUUGUGUGUGUUGCCUGUCCAAAUUCAUUUGGAUCGUACUCUGUCACUUUUUUUGAGAAUGUUCAAAAAUUUUAAUACCUUCCACAUUGGAUUUAUUGAUUUGAAAUUUACUCUGCAAGUCUGGAAUUCAGCACUGGAAUUAGUGAACUGUAUUAUCCAGCUUUUCGAAGGUAUAAAAGCUUUCUGAAAAGAACAAGUUGUGUGGUUGCUGUACAUCAGCCUUUCUGUGGAAAAGCACACAAUUAUAAAAGAAAUGUAUGCACUUAAUCUAUAGCAAGGUAUACAUGAGAUUUUUUUUUAGUGGAUUUAUGCUGCUUCUACAUAAAGGCUGUGUUAGUUGCCUUUUAGGAUUUUAUUAGUACUUCUGUAAUGUUUAGAAUUAAAAAAUACACAUUUUUGUAAAAUAAUUUUUCUUUCAAUUAAAUGCCUUAUUUUUUUAUUAUUAUUUCAGUUCCUGAAACAAAGUCUGCUUUCAAAUACUGAGGUAGACUUAGCCUGUUUUUCACUGCUGUUCAAUACUAGUCUCAUUUUAAAAACAGCAUGUCACAGUGAGAAGACAUCUGUAGUUUUAAGUCCACAGCAGCAUGAAAUGCUUUGAUCUGUUAUCAUGUGAAUUAAUGUGAUCCCAUCAGAGUCCUGCAAUAAGGACCUUCAAUGGCCGCUGUUUGGAAUUUUACCUUUGUCUUAUCUUCAUGAUGGUGACGCUGAGUUGUUUAUGAAAUUCCCACUCCUAAAUCUUCAAUAUUUAGAAAGAUCAGAGUACUCUUGAACUCCGAAAAGGACUCCAAAAAAAACUCCAAAAAGUGCUAAUUCUAUGUAUACUAUAUCAACUCAGGUACAGCUUAUGCUAAUUUAGUUUCUUCUUUUUAAUAGAAGGUACAGGGAGGAAGAUACAGUGUAUGGCUGUACCUGUGAACAGCCUGUUAACUGAUGUGUCACUAAGAGCCAUUACUGAGAUGAGAAAGGAGCAGACAGGAAUGUUGCCUUUCCACGUGAUGCUUUGGGAAAUAGAAAGCAUAGAAGUAAAAGGGAAAAUGAGGAGAGAAGCUAGAUUGAAAACAGAAAAAUCAACAGCACCUGAAUAUGUUUUGCUUCAGAACUGUUGGUACCUUUAGUGUGUGAGAUAACUCUGUCACUACAUUUUAUUGAAGUGACAGAGAUUUUCCAUAGCACCAAGAGGAUGCACCAAAUUUUUUUCUUUUUUAAUUGAGAAGUUUCAAUUGUGAAACAUUGUUCCUCGUUUUUGGCUUGUUUUUAGAUGUGUUAGAAGUUCAAGUAAAAGUAUGAUAAUGGCAUAAUUUAUUUUUAAUAAAUAACAUAUUACAAUCACUCUGUGUCUGAGAAGUCUUUAGCCAGGUCUUGCUUAGGCUUGGUGUCCUGAUCUUGAGUGUUGAAGGGUGUUGGUAUCAGAGUGACCAAUAUUCAGAAUUACUUCGUAUUUCUCUUAGAUUGUCUUGGGUCUGUCCAUGUUGCUGUUGACUGGUCUGCCAUUACAGCUGUAAAGCACAGUUUGCUGGGACAACGAAAUAAAGCGGUAUAAAAAGUGAAGUGGAUAUAUCACCUCUCUUGAGACUUAAACACUAGCUAACGUUCAGAUAACUCACUUUUUUGACAACAAGGGGCUGAAAAAUUUUGAAAGACUGUUGACAUUUUACAGACCUUGGUUUGCGGACUGGAUAAAUGCAGCAGUAGAUUGAUAUUCACAUUUAAAUCUGUUAGGAUUUCGUUUUUCACAUUUGUAAGUGGGAUUUUUUUUCCUGUUUUUCCCCCAUUAUUGCUCUGGUCCCUUCUCUGUUUUUAAUUAUCCAGAUCCUGAAAUUGCACUAGAUUGUUAUUUCUUCAAGCAGGAGUUAACCUAUUUUCAGGAAGUUGGAGUGUUGACUUAGAGCUUUGUAGAUAUAUUGCACCCUGCUUCUGGCAGUUCUUCCAGUGCUGCCAGGUGUUUGUUGCUUCACACCAGUAC
Phasianus colchicus (ring-necked pheasant) is the source of this 4801-nucleotide RNA transcript. It is a transcript of the gene named fatty acid amide binding transmembrane protein, with no coding region annotated. Lineage: Eukaryota; Metazoa; Chordata; Aves; Galliformes; Phasianidae. The record is from RefSeq and is a predicted model, not a curated record.